Molecule: long non-coding RNA, 1493 nt
Organism: Rhododendron vialii
Lineage: Eukaryota; Viridiplantae; Streptophyta; Magnoliopsida; Ericales; Ericaceae
Exons: 6
Source: RefSeq, a predicted model, not a curated record
GCCGCGGAAAAUUACCGAGUUGUAUAGAGAGAAAAAACCCGUGAGCGAAAAUAGGAAUCAGAGAGAGGGAGACUGAGAGUGAGAGUAAUGGAAGAAGAGCGGAGCAACAGCAGUAGAAGUAAAAACAAUGGCAGCAUACGGGCAGAGCUGAGUGGCUCUGACGAAAUGCCCACUGGUCGUUUCAAAAGUUACGGAAACUAUCAGGACAGAGAAGAAAACAACCCCUGUUAAAGAACCAGGCGUGAAAAGGAAUGAAGGGAUUGUGGGGAACUAGAGGAUACCAUACUAUAUUUAAGCUUUUUGAAAGACAAGCUAAUUUGACCUUGAAGCAGCUAGUCCAAGAUACAGAGAAACCUGCAUUGUAAAUGAGAUCGUGUAAAGAAGAUGGAUGCUGGAAUUAAACAGAGCAAGUGCUAUCCGUCUCCGGUACUGUGGUGCUGGUCCAGGUCACGUGAAUUAGUCUCUUCACAAAAAGCAGCCACUUUGUGUAUCAAGGACCGCAUUGGUGGUAAGCGAGUUGGCAAAAUAGCUGGACUUUUAAGUGUCCUCUCAUUGUCACACGAUCGCAGCAUCCAACCUGCUUGCAGAGUUGCGGUAGUAGUCUUGUGAUCCAUAUGUCGUGUGAGAGAGAGAGACUUUGUUUUGCUCGGCCCUUGGUGGGGCGGUAGAAGCCUUUGGGCGACUCAUCCCUUUUGAACCAUAGCGGUUCUGGAGCCACUAAUGGUCAUGCCCGGUGAAAGUAGCUAUGUCGGUUGCCCCCUCAGCCACCCUUUUUUCUUAGCAAAAAGAAAAUGUCAGAUUUUUAAAUUUGUUUCCCAAUCUGCCCUUCAAAAAACCAUCAAACUAAUGGAGUUUGGCGUAUUCGUUUGUUUGUUUUGUUUGUUACUCAUGAUGGUCGACACACCAAGACAAGAAGAGAGUCAUACCCUCCAACUACGGCGGAAAGCUCAAUAAAUAAACGCAGAAGCUACGAAGAUACGAGACAGCUCCAGCACGGAAAAUGACUGAUCUGGGGGCAGCCAAUGUGAUCCAACCCAGUAUUUGUCUCCCCAAAUUUGAGGGUUGGAAACAUAAAGCUUCAUCCCAUGUUUGUCCAGAUCGAGUUUCUUAUGCUGUUUUUGUCAAAACGACAACGCCAAACGUAGCUCUGGGAAUUGAGAAUUCCUGCUUGAUCUUGAGACUUUAUAUCAUGUUUUGGUGAAUUUGGUAGUCCUUGUUAAAUGUACAAGUUAACUCCGCAAUAUACCAUGUUUUGUAUUUUAUCUUUCAAGAGUCUCAAGUUCGGAGAAAAGAGGAGGGUUGGGGGUUACUCACUACGAACGCCUUCGUACAAUGUUGUCCGUCUAUGCAUCCAUCUCUUGACUCGUGAUGGGAUGAACGUACAGUCAAAGGAUAGGAACCACAACAUGGUCGAGUUAAUCGGAAAAUUUAUUGGAGAGGAAUGAGUGAAGAGAGAUAGAUAGAGAAAGUUUAUUGGAGAUUGAGUUUUGAGA